Molecule: transfer RNA, 73 nt
Filed under: Mesorhizobium sp. B2-6-4
Lineage: Bacteria; Pseudomonadati; Pseudomonadota; Alphaproteobacteria; Hyphomicrobiales; Phyllobacteriaceae
Also listed under: 1 other name
Description: tRNA-His
Source: RNAcentral
ACCAAUAGUAUCAAUUGUUGCACUCGGAUUGUGGAUCCGGAGGUCGCUGGUUCGAUCCCAGCCAACGGUACCA